AAUAGAGAUCAUAGACUUAAUAAUCGAGUGGCCGUUAAUGUUUUUCUUUCCUUAACGAGCAAAAACUGACCACUAAAAAGUGAUGGUUCAAAGGCUAGGCUCACCGGGCUUAGUGGACUGGAAGUGCAGCAGCCUGUAGUCCCUCCACUGUUGGGAGCCAGAGGUAUUCGCUGCUCUGUGAAACCAGCCUCACGCAAUUCCCCCUCGUCUAGGGACCAAGAGACAUAGACCUUCACCCAUGUCCCGUGGCACAACUCUCAACUUGGAGCGGGCAGGCCAGCAUAUUGCAGCUAACAGACCAGCCAAACAAGCCGUAGCCACGUUCCAUCACUUUGGUGCUCCCACUUGGGUCACAAGUUGGCGCUACCCAACUCAGCAAACAAUCAAGCAUGUUAGAUUGUUAUAUAGACUUGAUUUUUUUAUGAUAUAUCCGAUGUGGGACGUACAAAUGCUUAGAACAAUCAUGCCAAUUCCUUCCUUAAUUUGUUUGUAAUUACAAACAAAUCUUCUAAGCAAAUUUCAAUUAACCAUUAUCAAUAUUAUUGUGUUCGUCAAUUCUUUUCCUUCUUCUCUUAUAAUAAGUUUUACAACCAGUGGAGAAUAUAAAUGAAUUCAGAUUCACAAUAUAAUUUCAUUACAAUUUGAGUCACGCUUCAUAAAUAGAGAAUGCCUCAAUGCUUCGCUAUAUGUCCCACUUCCAUCAUCAUACCUUAAUUUAGUUUCAUAAGAUAAACCAUAACAAAUCUCAUUCUUUGACAACGUUCCAGAGCUAAGUGUGUGUAAGACAUGGAAAGCAAUGCCAUCUACCAAAGGAAAAACAGGUACAUCAAAAAUAGAAGAAAUCUUUAUGAUACAUAAAUACAUUGUUAAUGAAAUCAAUUGAAUAGUAAAUUCAUAGCCUUCGACCCAUCAUCUUUCUUUGACCUUCUACAGGAUUUCCCUCUUGAUCAAAAAACUUCAUCGAACUGCCAUACAUAUCAUCAAUUGUUUUUUAUAAUCAAAAUACAAUUUUAUGAACACAUAUAUAAGGUACUGAAUAAUUAUGUAUGACUAACUAUAAGGCUGCUAAUUUUCUAAACACAUUCAUAUGGUACUAGAUUAUUUUUUGAAUAUAUAGUUGAAUUGUUUGCACUAAAGAGAGAAUUAAACUAAGGCACGGCGGUUUAAGUCUUACAAAACAUAUAGAAACCACUAAAGAGAUGCAAAAUGCUUUGAUUACAACUGCUUUAGGAGAAAUUAGUUCUUAAGGAAAAACUCUCGAACCAUUUUUAAUCCCUAUAACAUUUCAGAAUUAUGAGUUUAUUAUGUUACAAAUUUAUUUUCUUUGUUUUUUUGACUCUAUAACAUUAUAGGAGUUAAACAUAUUGAACUUGAAAAAACAAAAAAUGCAUAACGAUUUCGAGAUCAUUCUCAUCCAAUGUAAUAAAAUGUAGCUUUGUCAAGCCAAUGCACAAUUUGCUAUGUAUCUCUCCAUAAAUUAAAAAAAAUAAGGAUAAUACAUAUGGAGGUGACGAAUGACAAUAAACUUUUACUUCAUGUAGUAAAUAUAAUAACUUUUUUUGGGGAAAAAAAUAAAUAAUUGUUCUCAAAAUAAUAUAAUUUUUUGAAGUUGAUCAUAUUCUCACCACAAAAAAAAAGACCUUAAUCUUUUAUUUGUAAACAUAUAUUAUCGCAACCGUAACAACCGUGCUUGCUAUUUAAUUAAAUUUUUCGCAAAUAAAUGGAUCCAAUAGAGAUCAUAGACUUAAUAAUCGAGUGGCCGUUAAUGUUUUUCUUUCCUUAACGAGCAAAAACUGACCACUAAAAAGUGAUGGUUCAAAGGCUAGGCUCACCGGGCUUAGUGGACUGGAAGUGCAGCAGCCUGUAGUCCCUCCACUGUUGGGAGCCAGAGGUAUUCGCUGCUCUGUGAAACCAGCCUCACGCAAUUCCCCCUCGUCUAGGGACCAAGAGACAUAGACCUUCACCCAUGUCCCGUGGCACAACUCUCAACUUGGAGCGGGCAGGCCAGCAUAUUGCAGCUAACAGACCAGCCAAACAAGC
This 2040-nucleotide long non-coding RNA is filed under the name Medicago truncatula (barrel medic). RNAcentral's name for it is "long non-coding RNA (MTRU_LNC001494)". Lineage: Eukaryota; Viridiplantae; Streptophyta; Magnoliopsida; Fabales; Fabaceae. The record is from RNAcentral.